GACAGCAUGAACGAAGAGUAACCUGCCUGCCAAGCCAGCUGAAGCGGCACAGAAGUACGGCAGCAGUAUGAGCAGAUGGUGGCCCUGGUCAAGCAGAGGGGACCUCCCCGAUGCUGCUGAUUCACUUUCUGAGGCGUCAGGCCAUUCCAGUAGAGAACAUACACCCAAUGAUCUUCUUAACGAAACAAAACAGGAGGGUUUGCGUGAAGAUCCUGACUUGGAGCAGACGCAAAUGGAGUAUCUUAAUGAAAUCUUGCCAGGCGACGUAACCAAUCCUGAUCUCUGCAACUAUCAUCUUAAUGAUAGUCCACCUUUUGGAUCAUUAGAGGUUUAUCAUGCUGGCACUCACAUCAUUACUCUUGGCUGGGCUCCAAACGAACAGCAAGUGGAAUCUCAUUAUCACGUUCUCUACUCUUGCAAAAUCAAGUCACAGACUAUCCAGAUCACAGAUUCCUGCAAAGUAGACAUCGGGGACCUUUGGCCUGGGACGCGAUACACUUUCAGUAUCAUUAGGAUUACUGACGGAAAACAUAGUAAAUCGGCAUCUGUAUCGGUCU
Long non-coding RNA from Gadus chalcogrammus (walleye pollock), 557 nucleotides. RefSeq lists it as uncharacterized. NCBI's taxonomy places the organism in Eukaryota, Metazoa, Chordata, Actinopteri, Gadiformes, Gadidae. The record is from RefSeq and is a predicted model, not a curated record. The transcript has 5 exons.